This 425-nucleotide ribosomal RNA is filed under the name uncultured bacterium. RNAcentral's name for it is "partial 16S ribosomal RNA". It matches the Rfam family "Bacterial small subunit ribosomal RNA", at positions 354 to 796 of the family's 1533-position model. The record is from RNAcentral.
GUGGGGAAUAUUGGACAAUGGGCGCAAGCCUGAUCCAGCCAUGCCGCGUGAGUGAUGAAGGCCUUAGGGUUGUAAAGCUCUUUCAGUGGGGACGAUAAUGACGGUACCCACAGAAGAAGCCCCGGCUAACUUCGUGCCAGCAGCCGCGGUAAUACGAAGGGGGCUAGCGUUGUUCGGAUUUACUGGGCGUAAAGCGCACGUAGGCGGAUCGUUAAGUCGGGGGUGAAAUCCUGGAGCUCAACUCCAGAACUGCCUUCGAUACUGGCGAUCUUGAGUCCGGAAAAGGUGAGUGGAACUCCUAGUGUAGAGGUGGAAUUCGUAGAUAUUAGGAAGAACACCAGUGGCGAAGGCGGCUCACUGGUCCGGUACUGACGCUGAGGUGCGAAAGCGUGGGGAGCAAACAGGAUUAGAUACCCGAGUAGUCC